RNAcentral lists this ribosomal RNA (449 nucleotides) under Lacticaseibacillus casei. RNAcentral describes it as "bacterial SSU rRNA". It matches the Rfam family "Bacterial small subunit ribosomal RNA", at positions 782 to 1231 of the family's 1533-position model. The record is from RNAcentral. Lineage: Bacteria; Bacillati; Bacillota; Bacilli; Lactobacillales; Lactobacillaceae.
AUACCCUGGUAGUCCAUGCCGUAAACGAUGAAUGCUAGGUGUUGGAGGGUUUCCGCCCUUCAGUGCCGCAGCUAACGCAUUAAGCAUUCCGCCUGGGGAGUACGACCGCAAGGUUGAAACUCAAAGGAAUUGACGGGGGCCCGCACAAGCGGUGGAGCAUGUGGUUUAAUUCGAAGCAACGCGAAGAACCUUACCAGGUCUUGACAUCUUUUGAUCACCUGAGAGAUCAGGUUUCCCCUUCGGGGGCAAAAUGACAGGUGGUGCAUGGUUGUCGUCAGCUCGUGUCGUGAGAUGUUGGGUUAAGUCCCGCAACGAGCGCAACCCUUAUGACUAGUUGCCAGCAUUUAGUUGGGCACUCUAGUAAGACUGCCGGUGACAAACCGGAGGAAGGUGGGGAUGACGUCAAAUCAUCAUGCCCCUUAUGACCUGGGCUACACACGUGCUACAAA